This 429-nucleotide ribosomal RNA is filed under the name Bacteroidota bacterium. RNAcentral describes it as "Bacteroidetes bacterium partial 16S ribosomal RNA". It matches the Rfam family "Bacterial small subunit ribosomal RNA", at positions 355 to 776 of the family's 1533-position model. The record is from RNAcentral. Lineage: Bacteria; Pseudomonadati; Bacteroidota.
UAGGGAAUCUUCGGCAAUGGGGGGAACCCUGACCGAGCAACGCCGCGUGAGUGAAGAAGGAUUUCGGUUCGUAAAACUCUGUUGUUAGAGAAGAACAGCGCAUAGAGUAACUGUUAUGCGUGUGACGGUAUCUAACCAGAAAGCCACGGCUAACUACGUGCCAGCAGCCGCGGUAGUACGUAGGUGGCAAGCGUUGUCCGGAUUUAUUGGGCGUAAAGCGAGCGCAGGCGGUCAAUUAAGUCUGAUGUGAAAGCCCCCGGCUCAACCGGGGAGGGUCAUUGGAAACUGGUUGACUUGAGUGCAGAAGAGGAGAGUGGAAUUCCAUGUGUAGCGGUGAAAUGCGUAGAUAUAUGGAGGAACACCAGUGGCGAAGGCGACUCUCUGGUCUGUAACUGACGCUGAGGCUCGAAAGCGUGGGUAGCAAACAGG